Long non-coding RNA from Gymnodraco acuticeps, 371 nucleotides. RefSeq lists it as uncharacterized. The record is from RefSeq and is a predicted model, not a curated record. The transcript has 3 exons. NCBI's taxonomy places the organism in Eukaryota, Metazoa, Chordata, Actinopteri, Perciformes, Bathydraconidae.
CCAAUUUCAAAAACCCUUGCGGAGAAUUGCUGAACCGACGCAGCACACAUUUAAACGUUGUAUUACAGUAUGCCUAAAUGAACACAAGUCAACAACUCUUCCAACACUGCCUAUAAAAGUGCAAAAGGAUCCAAGCUGAAAGGGAACAUAUCGCAUAUACAUAGAAGAAGAAGGAGAAGAAGAAGAAGCCCCAGUUCAUGUCCCUAAAUCCUGCCACUAUCGCUCGGAUUUGAGAUCAUAGUAUUCUUGUUGUGCACUCACCGAGGCUGGAGACUUCUGCAGCUCCGAGCAGACAAAGCACCGUGAGGCAGGCACUCCCGCGACCAACAACCAAUCACAUGAAUCUCCCGCCCCGGACACACAAGCACGCG